UCCUGAGCCAGUUAACGUAGAGCUGGUACAUUGCUGUCUUCACUGGAGUGCUGCAAGCUCGAAGUGUGGCUGCAGCACUUCUCGCUCGUAACGUGAAACUUAAAAACACGCCAAGGAGUGGAUGCAAGUGAACUAUCAAUCUACUGAAACAGAAGCGGGAAAUGUAUUCGAAGACGAAAAUGCUCGCGCGACCUGUGCGUCAGACCCGGAUAAACGCACGCGAGCUGACAAAAUCCUGAGUAGCUGUUAUUCAACAUAAACACAUUUCCGCACACAUGAAGAUGGAUGACGAUAGUUCAUCUUAAAAUGAAACUUAUGUUUAUCAGCCCCAGGCCAUCCAAGAGAUGCUCUUAAGAACAACGCCCUGAUGUCCAAGGUCAACCAGCAAGAAGCUGAGAAGGCACUGCCAAAAUGGUUUACUGGGGCAAGGGACAGAGGAGGACAGAGAGCAUCAAGAAUGCAGAAAAGGAUGUCUGUUUGAGAAAGGUUAAAACUACAGUUGUUGAUUUGAACUGUUGUAGUUCUUUAAUUUUUCUUAAAGGAAAACACAAUCAUUUUUCAAUAUUUACCAUGUUCUUCCCUCAACUUAGAUGAAUUAAUACAAACCUCUCUUUUCUCAAUGUGUGCACUUAAAGGUGGGGUGCACAAUUUCUAAAAAAAAAACGUUUUGGAAAAGGGAGACAGGCCGACUAUCAAAACACACUUGUAGCCAAUUAGCAGCAUGUCUACUAAAUGACAUCGUUGCCUGGGUUGCGUAUGUGUGGGGCGGGUCUAUCAAAAGAAGGUCCAGAUUCUAUUAGGGUAAGGGUGUGUUUGUUUAGAUGAUUUCAAAUAUCAACAUUGGCUUUCAUGCACCCUGCCUUUAUUUGUUGUAAAGUGUGGCGUGAAUGUGUUAGCAUUUAGCCAAGCACCAUUCAUUCAUUAGGAUCCAAACAGGGAUGAAUUUAAUAGCCACCAAACACUUCCAUGUUUUCCCUAUUCAAAGACUGUUACAUGAGUAGUUACACGAGGAAGUAUGGUAAAAAAUAUAACUAUAUUGUAUGGCGGAAGAGCACUUAGUUUGUAGCACUCGACCUUGGGCACAGUAACAUCAUCACUCCUGACUACUCCCCCUCUUGCUUAAACUACAGUCAACAUAACCAACAUGCCUGUACUAAUGUUAGUACAUUGAGCAGACUCUGCGAAAUAUCAAGUUAAGUUUAAGUGUACGCAUUGAGAAAAGAGAGAUAUGUAUUUAUUCGGCUAAGUUGAUGGAAGAACAUAGUAAAAUAUUGAAAAACUGUGUUUGUAAUUAUCUUACUUUCAUUUACUUUUAAGGGCCCCAUUUCAAUAAUUUUUUAAAGGGGCCAUGGCAUGAAAAUCUGACUUUUUCCAUGUUUAAGUACUACAAUUGGGUCCCCAGUGCUUCUAUCAACCUAGAAAAUGUGAAAAAGAUCAACCCAGUAACUUCCAUUCUCUGCAAGCAUGUGAAAAAAUAGGUAGUUGAAAUUUGGCUCUCCUUAUGAUGUCAGAAGGAGCUCUUAUUAUAAUAAUACCACACCUUAAUCUGCACUAUCCAACCACAGCACUGCCAUUUAGUGCAGAGAGGGAGAGACAGAGAAAAAAAUUCACAGCACAAUUAAGUUUCAAUUUCAACAAACCACCAUCAUUGUUAUCAGUGUUUGAAUUUCAUCAGCUCAUUUGCAUUUUAAAGUAGGGAUGCACCGAAAUGAAAAUUCUUGGCCAAAACCGAAAACC
This is a long non-coding RNA of Misgurnus anguillicaudatus (oriental weatherfish), 1737 nucleotides long. RefSeq lists it as uncharacterized. Lineage: Eukaryota; Metazoa; Chordata; Actinopteri; Cypriniformes; Cobitidae. The record is from RefSeq and is a predicted model, not a curated record.